UAACGUCAUGAUUAUUGUAACAAUUAAGGUAAAAUUAUAGAGGUACCGCUGAUAAUAAAAGUCAAAACGACAAGGGUAUCAUUAAUAAAAGUCAAAACGACAAGGGUAUAUUGAUAAUUUCACUAAAAAAAAUUAUGAAUCCCAUUUCACCACCAAAAAAAACUAUCCAUGAUAAAUCCCCAAAUAAACCCUAAAAUUCAAUGUUGAUCAACUAUAUUAGAAAUUAAUCCCUUAAACCAUCAAUUUGAUCUUUAAUACUAAUUCAGGAGAACACAUCAAUGAAGAAUCAAAUCAAAGAUUUAAGAUUUAUGAAAAAUUUAACAAAUUUUCAGUUGAUUUGGGGCUCUUUUUUUCUUACAUUUGGCGUGAUUUCGUUUCUGGGUUUUCUUUAUUGUGCUGUCAUUUCCAAGCUCAUGCCGCCAUCACAAAACCCCUUAAUAUUUGCUAUACAGAGAGACAGAUAUUAUUGCUUCUUGGUCCCAUUGUCGCUUCCAAUCCUUGUGGUUGCUGUCUACUUCCAUUGGCUCAGCAUGAAACUCUUCAAGCAUGCAUGAUUUUUGCACCAGUCUUCAUAUCAGUUUCAUGCAGACUAAUUUCAUUGUUAUGAGCCUCACUACAAGCAGAAUUUAAAUGUGGUUGGACUACUUGAAGACAGUAUCAGUUUGGCAAUCUCCCCAAAAUGCAGAUCGAACCAUUCAUCAUCUCUAAUACUACAUAGUUGUGGACUAUUGCUUUUAUGUAGUAACACUUCCUAUUUCAGCUGUCUGGAAAUCUGGAUGCAAGCAUGAUCAAAUAGGUUAUUGGACUGCUUUAACUUUGAAAGGAACAUCAGAACUGUAAACGCUGGAAGUAUAGUGUCAAUUGUCUUUCAUGAUACACACAUGAUUUUUUUUGUGCACAUGCAUAUACUUCUUGGUGAAUGGUGAUGAGUGUGAGGUAAAGUACUUGAACAUGAAAGAGGAUAAGUAGCCAGGCAGUAGCAAGGUUAGAACAUUCAGGAUCAAUAUGGAGCAUGGAGAUCGGAGGCAAAAUGAGCGGAAGAGGCAGGAAGAAAAAUAAUUAAUUGUGGAAAUCAGCACAGAUCAUGCCCGAUCCAGCGAUCCUUAGCUCAAGUGCUUUUGUGAAGUUCUGGAAACUGCAUAUUUCUGCAAUUUCGAAUGGUUAGUUUAUAAAAGUACAGAGAGUCUAAUGGAAUGCGCCUUUAAUGACAUGGCAUGAUCAAUUGUAGAAUUGAAGCAUCUAUAUGAUGGUAUUACUAUCCUCACGCUAAGCUUGGAACUAUUUUGAUCUGAGUCAUAUCUCAUAUGGAAUAAAUGUAUUUGUACCUGAUUUGCAGGUACAGCAUCACUUUAUCCUCUUUGAGAACUUUAACUUGUACUAUGAGCCUUUUUUCUUGGUUGCUUAUAUAGUUAUAUUAUGGCGUA
Chenopodium quinoa (quinoa) is the source of this 1424-nucleotide long non-coding RNA. RefSeq lists it as uncharacterized. Lineage: Eukaryota; Viridiplantae; Streptophyta; Magnoliopsida; Caryophyllales; Amaranthaceae. The record is from RefSeq and is a predicted model, not a curated record. The transcript has 2 exons.